CUUGGUGCCGCUGCAGACCAACAGUGGGGUAGUCGACGCUGAUGAGCCACCGGUGGGAGAAGAUUCACCUACACCAGAGCCAGCUCCACCAGUCCCAGCUCCACCACUG
Long non-coding RNA from Amblyraja radiata (thorny skate), 109 nucleotides. RefSeq lists it as uncharacterized. The transcript has 3 exons. NCBI's taxonomy places the organism in Eukaryota, Metazoa, Chordata, Chondrichthyes, Rajiformes, Rajidae. The record is from RefSeq and is a predicted model, not a curated record.